CACGUAGGGCGCAAGCGUUGUCCGGAAUUACUGGGCGUAAAGCGCACGUAGGCGGAUUGUUAAGUCGGGGGUGAAAUCCUGGAGCUCAACUCCAGAACUGCCUUUGAUACUGAGGAUCUUGAGUUCGGGAGAGGUGAGUGGAACUGCGAGUGUAGAGGUGAAAUUCGUAGAUAUUCGCAAGAACACCAGUGGCGAAGGCGGCUCACUGGCCCGGUACUGACGCUGAGGUGCGAAAGCGUGGGGAGCAAACAGG
RNAcentral lists this ribosomal RNA (253 nucleotides) under uncultured bacterium. RNAcentral describes it as "partial 16S ribosomal RNA". It matches the Rfam family "Bacterial small subunit ribosomal RNA", at positions 524 to 776 of the family's 1533-position model. The record is from RNAcentral.